UAAUUCCGUAAGGAUAUUAACCAAAUAAAAAAUGGCCUCCAGAGUAUCCACAUUUCUGAUCCUUUGCUUGGCUAUGGUUCUUCUCAUUUCCUCCAAAGUUUCAUCUCAGACUUCAGUCGAAACUGAAUCUGUAGGGACCGACCAAUACGGUGGCUGCCGCUACCGCUACUGCUGCUUGCGAGGAAGUUACGGCUGCCUCCGCUGGUGCUGUCGUUAUACUAAAGACAGCUCACAUGCGACCUACGAUCCUAGGCCGGGAGACAAGCCGCAAAACUAGGGAGAGAUCGGGUUCGGACUAGUCGAAAUGCGCAAGUCUACGAGGAUCAGACCUGCUGUUAAAUUAAAUCCAUGUCUAUUUACUACUGAGUUUAGCUGUGUUGAGGAAUAAUAUGCAUGAAGUCAUCUACGAAUGUUUGUCCAUGCAUGGAUAAUAAAACUGGUGCAGUCAGUGUGCCCCAGUGCUCUCAGUGUGUAAUGUUUGUUAUAUAUAUAUAUAGUGUGUGAAAUUGACUGA
Long non-coding RNA from Andrographis paniculata, 514 nucleotides. RefSeq lists it as uncharacterized. The record is from RefSeq and is a predicted model, not a curated record. The transcript has 2 exons. Lineage: Eukaryota; Viridiplantae; Streptophyta; Magnoliopsida; Lamiales; Acanthaceae.